AUUUGUGAAGUUGCUUUAAGUACUAAUAAGCAAUGUACAAAAUGUUUGAAAUAUUUUACAUUAUCCUAUCUUUAUAAGAAAUGCAGUUAUUUUCAUAUUUUAAAAAUAAACAAACAGCAUAAAAACAUGUGUGAUAACAAUUGGAUACAUUUAGCAAGUCUUGAAGAAAAUGUGCAAGCAACAAUUAGACUUGUUGUUAAUACUGAUGGAAUUCCUGUUUUUAAAUUAUCAAAGUGGACCUUGUGGCCUUUGCUAGCAUCCAUUCAUAAUUUUCCAUAUUCAUUGCAAAUUACUAAUAUUUUGUUUUUUGGUUUCUGGUCCAGUUUUAAAAAACCAAACGUGCAAUUACUUUUAUCUUGUUUUGUUGAUUUUUUACUAACCUAUCCACUACUGGUAGUUUAAUGAUUAUAAUGGUUGCCAUUGGUGUUCUUCUCAAGGAGUAAGAGUUAAAAAAAGGUAGGAGGUCUUGUAUGACUUAUCCAUUUUCUGAUGUUAAUGGGAGUUGUAGAAACCAUACAGAUUUUUUUUGGAUUAAUGUGAUUAAAGGGUUUUUAGAUUUUUAUACAUUUGUAAGAGUACCUAAUUUUAAUUGUGAAAAUGGAACAGUUGUUAAUAAUCUGCACUGUAUUGAGCUUGGUGUUAUGAAAGCUAUGUUUUCUUUCUGAUUUGAUAGUUAUUAUUCUGGUUAUAUUUUUUCUAUUAGAAGACACUGUACUGUUGUAAAUAAUCUUUUAUCUGCAAUCAGUGUGCCAAGCAAUAUAAGACAGACUCGAUGAUCAUUAAGUUGUAUAAAGCAUUGGAAAGCUUUAAAGACCCAAACGAAAAUACUUUUAAAGUCAAUUUUCGCAAUUCUGUUUGUUUUGUUGUGCUAAUUUGUCAGUAGAGAACCAACAGACCACUGACUUCAUAAUUUUUCCAUCUAAAAUUAUACUAAAAUAUCCUAAUAAAUACAAUUUGAAUUAGAUGAUAUAAGUUAUCAGAGAAAGUAAACAAAGUACACUUAUUCGGAAUAAAAAAUGUAACUACUGCCAUUUGGUUCUCGACUUUUUUGAAAUGGGCUAAAAAACAUGCUUAAGCAUCAUAUUGCCUAUAAGAUAUACUUACUGCAAUAUUUUUCUUUUUCACUAAUAUACAGGUUUAAGUUUUGCUUUAUAAUGACUAUUAUGUUUUUUACAGAUUUAAAUAUCUAUAUCAGUACAGAAAAGUAGAGCUGUAUGAUUUUUUGUUUUGUUGAUUUAAACAGUUGAAAA
Hydra vulgaris (swiftwater hydra) is the source of this 1250-nucleotide non-coding RNA. NCBI's taxonomy places the organism in Eukaryota, Metazoa, Cnidaria, Hydrozoa, Anthoathecata, Hydridae. The record is from RefSeq and is a predicted model, not a curated record.